This 481-nucleotide ribosomal RNA is filed under the name uncultured bacterium. RNAcentral describes it as "partial 16S ribosomal RNA". It matches the Rfam family "Bacterial small subunit ribosomal RNA", at positions 28 to 507 of the family's 1533-position model. The record is from RNAcentral.
GGUGAACGCUGGCGGCGUGCCUAACACAUGCAAGUCGAACGGAGAUUACGGACGGAAGUUUUCGGAUGGAAGACUGUAAUUCUUAGUGGCGGACGGGUGAGUAACGCGUGGGCAACCUGCCCUAUACAGGGGGAUAGCAGCUGGAAACGGCUGGUAAGACCGCAUAAGUCGGCGAGACCGCAUGGUUUUGCCGGGAAAUGAGCAAUCAGGUAUAGGAUGGGCCCGCGUCCGAUUAGCCAGUUGGCAGGGUAAAAGCCUACCAAAGCAACGAUCGGUAGCCGGACUGAGAGGUCGGACGGCCACAUUGGGACUGAGACACGGCCCAAACUCCUACGGGAGGCAGCAGUGGGGGAUAUUGCACAAUGGAGGAAACUCUGAUGCAGCGACGCCGCGUGAGUGAAGAAGUAUUUCGGUAUGUAAAGCUCUAUCAGCAGGGAAGAUGAUGACGGUACCUGACUAAGAAGCCCCGGCUAACUACGUG